GUGGGGAAUUUUGGACAAUGGGCGCAAGCCUGAUCCAGCAAUGCCGCGUGCAGGAAGAAGGCCUUCGGGUUGUAAACUGCUUUUGUACGGAACGAAACGGCUCUGGUUAAUACCCGGGGCUAAUGACGGUACCGUAAGAAUAAGCACCGGCUAACUACGUGCCAGCAGCCGCGGUAAGACGUAGGGUGCAAGCGUUAAUCGGAAUUACUGGGCGUAAAGCGUGCGCAGGCGGUUUUGUAAGACAGGUGUGAAAUCCCCGGGCUCAACCUGGGAACUGCACUUGUGACUGCAAGGCUAGAGUGUGUCAGAGGGAGGUGGAAUUCCGCGUGUAGCAGUGAAAUGCGUAGAUAUGCGGAGGAACACCGAUGGCGAAGGCAGUCCCCUGGGCCUGUACUGACGCUCAUGCACGAAAGCGUGGGGAGCAAACAGGAUUAGAAACCCGAGUAGUCC
RNAcentral lists this ribosomal RNA (450 nucleotides) under uncultured bacterium. Its description in RNAcentral is "partial 16S ribosomal RNA". It matches the Rfam family "Bacterial small subunit ribosomal RNA", at positions 354 to 796 of the family's 1533-position model. The record is from RNAcentral.